Molecule: ribosomal RNA, 463 nt
Filed under: uncultured bacterium
Lineage: Bacteria
Description: bacterial SSU rRNA
Rfam family: Bacterial small subunit ribosomal RNA
Source: RNAcentral
CCUACGGGGGGCUGCAGUAAGGAGUAUUGGGCAAUGGGCGAAAGCCUGACCCAGCGACGCCGCGUGUGGGAUGAAGUCCUUCGGGAUGUAAACCACUGUCAGGAGCUACCAAGCAACUGCGCCUAAUAUGCGCAGGAGUUGAGGAGCUCCAGAGGAAGCCACGGCUAACUUCGUGCCAGCAGCCGCGGUAAGACGAAGGUGGCGAGCGUUGUUCGGAAUCAUUGGGCUUAAAGGGCGCGUAGGCGGCUCAUCAAGUGUCUUGUGAAAUCCCUCGGCUUAACCGGGGAAUUGCUGGGCAUACUGUUGAGCUUGAGGCAGGUAUGAGCGAGUGGAACUCUUGGUGGAGCGGUGGAAUGCGUAGAUAUCAAGAGGAACGCCGGUGGUGAAGACGAUUCGCUGGGCCUGUCCUGACGCUGAGGCGCGAAAGCCAGGGGAGCAAACGGGCUUAGAUACCCUAGUAGUC